RNAcentral lists this transfer RNA (83 nucleotides) under Lachnospiraceae bacterium. RNAcentral's name for it is "tRNA-Leu". It matches the Rfam family "tRNA". Rfam says of the family: Transfer RNA (tRNA) molecules are approximately 80 nucleotides in length. Their secondary structure includes four short double-helical elements and three loops (D, anti-codon, and T loops). RNAcentral also lists the same sequence under 3 other names. Lineage: Bacteria; Bacillati; Bacillota; Clostridia; Lachnospirales; Lachnospiraceae. The record is from RNAcentral.
GCAGGAGUGGCGGAACGGCAGACGCAGUGGACUCAAAAUCCACCGUUGGUGACAACGUGAGGGUUCAAAUCCCUUCUCCUGCA